UUUAAUAAAUCAAUAUUUUGAAUUGAAUUGAAAAUUCAAAUAAAUUUUAUUAAUUAUUAAAA
Molecule: transfer RNA, 62 nt
Filed under: Bombus terrestris (buff-tailed bumblebee)
Lineage: Eukaryota; Metazoa; Arthropoda; Insecta; Hymenoptera; Apidae
Description: tRNA-Phe
Source: RNAcentral